CCGCGAGGAGGCCCUCGCGGGCCCCCCCGCGCGCUUUCUGCCAGAGGACCUUCAAACUCCAGUCAGUAAACGUCGACGUCUGAUAAACAAGUUAAUAAACUAAAACUUUCAACAACGGAUCUCUUGGUUCUGGCAUCGAUGAAGAACGCAGCGAAAUGCGAUAAGUAAUGUGAAUUGCAGAAUUCAGUGAAUCAUCGAAUCUUUGAACGCACAUUGCGCCCCCUGGCAUUCCGGGGGGCAUGCCUGUUCGAGCGUCAUUACAACCCUCAAGCUCUGCUUGGUAUUGGGCGCCGUCCUCUCUGCGGACGCGCCUUAAAGACCUCGGCGGUGGCUGUUCAGCCCUCAAGCGUAGUAGAAUACACCUCGCUUUGGAGCGGUUGGCGUCGCCCGCCGGACGAACCUUCUGAACUUUUCUCAAGGUUGACCUCGGAUCAGGUAGGGAUACCCGCUGAACUUAAGCAUAUCAAUAA
This 470-nucleotide ribosomal RNA is filed under the name Diplodia seriata. RNAcentral's name for it is "eukaryotic LSU rRNA". The stretch from base 104 to 257 matches the Rfam family "5.8S ribosomal RNA". The record is from RNAcentral. Lineage: Eukaryota; Fungi; Ascomycota; Dothideomycetes; Botryosphaeriales; Botryosphaeriaceae.